RNAcentral lists this ribosomal RNA (875 nucleotides) under Agrococcus sp. MAR3. Its description in RNAcentral is "bacterial SSU rRNA". It matches the Rfam family "Bacterial small subunit ribosomal RNA", at positions 32 to 916 of the family's 1533-position model. Lineage: Bacteria; Bacillati; Actinomycetota; Actinomycetes; Micrococcales; Microbacteriaceae. The record is from RNAcentral.
AACGCUGCUGGCGUGCUUAACACAUGCAAGUCGAACGAUGAAGGAGGAGCUUGCUCCUCCGGAAUUAGUGGCGAACGGGUGAGUAACACGUGAGCAAUGUGCCCUUGACUCUGGAAUAAGCGCUGGAAACGGCGUCUAAUACCGGAUACGACCUUCGGAGGCAUCUCCUGUUGGUGGAAAGAACUUCGGUUGAGGAUCAGCUCACGGCCUAUCAGCUAGUUGGUGAGGUAACGGCUCACCAAGGCGACGACGGGUAGCCGGCCUGAGAGGGUGACCGGCCACACUGGGACUGAGACACGGCCCAGACUCCUACGGGAGGCAGCAGUGGGGAAUAUUGCACAAUGGGCGCAAGCCUGAUGCAGCAACGCCGCGUGAGGGACGACGGCCUUCGGGUUGUAAACCUCUUUUAGCAGGGAAGAAGCGAAAGUGACGGUACCUGCAGAAAAAGCACCGGCUAACUACGUGCCAGCAGCCGCGGUAAUACGUAGGGUGCAAGCGUUGUCCGGAAUUAUUGGGCGUAAGAGCUCGUAGGCGGNUUGUCACGUCUGCUGUGAAAUCCCGAGGCUCAACCUCGGGCUUGCAGUGGGUACGGGCAGACUAGAGUGCGGUAGGGGAGAUUGGAAUUCCUGGUGUAGCGGUGGAAUGCGCAGAUAUCAGGAGGAACACCGAUGGCGAAGGCAGAUCUCUGGGCCGUAACUGACGCUGAGGAGCGAAAGCAUGGGGAGCAAACAGGCUUAGAUACCCUGGUAGUCCAUGCCGUAAACGUUGGGAACUAGAUGUGGGGACCAUUCCACGGUCUCCGUGUCGUAACUAACGCAUUAAGUUCCCCGCCUGGGGAGUACGGCCGCAAGGCUAAAACUCAAAGGAAUUGACGG